RNAcentral lists this ribosomal RNA (459 nucleotides) under uncultured bacterium. RNAcentral's name for it is "partial 16S ribosomal RNA". It matches the Rfam family "Bacterial small subunit ribosomal RNA", at positions 338 to 795 of the family's 1533-position model. The record is from RNAcentral.
CCUACGGGUGGCAGCAGUGAGGAAUUUUGGUCAAUGGUCGGGAGACUGAACCAGCCAAGCCGCGUGAGGGAGGAAGGUACAGAGUAUCGUAAACCUCUUUUGUCAGGGAACAAAGGCGGGGACGUGUCCCCGGAUGAGUGUACCUGAAGAAAAAGCAUCGGCUAACCCCGUGCCAGCAGCCGCGGUAAUACGGAGGAUGCGAGCGUUAGCCGGAUUUAUUGGGUUUAACGGGUGCGCAGGCGGUCUGUUAAGUCAGCGGUAAAAGCCCGGGGCUCAACCCCGGCCCGCCGUUGAAACUGGCAGUCUCGAGUUGGAGAGAAGUAUGCGGAAUGCGCGGUGUAGCGGUGAAAUGCAUAGAUAUCGCGCAGAACUCCGAUUGCGAAGGCAGCAUGCCGGCUCCACACUGACGCUGAGGCACGAAAGCGUGGGUAUCGAACAGGAUUAGAUACCCCUGUAGUC